Molecule: long non-coding RNA, 1070 nt
Filed under: Phoenix dactylifera (date palm)
Lineage: Eukaryota; Viridiplantae; Streptophyta; Magnoliopsida; Arecales; Arecaceae
Description: long non-coding RNA (PDAC_LNC010672)
Source: RNAcentral
AUAAUUGUUUGUUAAUCAUCAAAAUAACACUAUCAUCCUCAAUCUCCCCCUUUUUGAUGAUUACAAAAUAAAGAGUAUGAACCUUUUGAUACUUAUUUUAAAAUCAGUUUUUUGAAAGGGCUUAACUUGCUGAAUUUCAGCUUUUCAUAUAUAAGAGUGAAGUCUCCCCCUAUAUCAUUCAAAUGUUGCCAAUUUGACUUUUUGAAUUACUCCCCCUUUCAUUUAUAAUUCAUUAAAAAUGAAACUCCAAAAAUUUGAGAUAAAAUAUGAGUUUCAGGUUAUGUAUCGAGGUGUGAAAGGUGCGUGCCAAAUUCUGAAAUUAUAUGUGCCAAAUUCUGAAAUUUGAUAUAAAUUUUUGACUUGAUCAUUUUCAUUGUUGCAAAUUGCUCCCCCUUGGAUGUAUAUACUUUCCUAUAUGAUUUUCAAUUUGUUUUACAAAUUAUUUCUCUUUCUUUCUUUACUUCUCCUCUUAUUACUCUAUCUUUACUUCUCCCCUAUUACUCUUUCUUAACUUCUCCCCCUUUUUGUUACUCUAUUUACUCUAUCUUUACUUCUCCCCUAUUACUCUUUCUUUACUUCUCCCCCUUUUUGUUAUCAUCAAAUAGGUACAUGGGAAAAGACGCAAUAACAACCAUUGAAACUUCAUUGAUCAAAAUAGGAACAUUUUAGUACAAUCAUGCCAAAAACAAAAGCAAAUACAAUGUUCCUCAAUCAAGGUUCAAAAUACAUGAUCAACACAAAAUACAUAUGAGAACUAGAUACAUAUCCUAGGCUCUAAACAAGAUCGUGAGACUCUCCCGGAUCGCUUGGCUACGGCUCUCUUGGGUUCCAUUUCUCCAAGAUCUUGAAGUAAUCUACUGUUUGGAGAUGAUUGGAGAAGAUUUGAGAGUGGGGAAUAGGGUUUUCAGAAGAGGACAAAGGGUAAACAGUGCCCUAGAUAGCUCACGGGUCCCCCUUUUAACAGUGGGGUCCCGACGUUGGGUCGACUCAAGAAUUUUCUUGCGUCGACUCAACGUUGGGUCGACCCUAUUCUGGGUUGGGUCGACCCAAGUUCAGAAAUUUUUCCUUUC